AUGCACGCUAGCGAUAGGCUUAACACCUGCCAGUCGAGGGGCAGCAUGGUCUUAGCUUGCUAAGGCUGAUGGCGACCGGCGCACGGGUGCGUAACGCGUAUGCAACUUGCCUCACAGAGGGGGAUAACCCGUCGAAAGACGGACUAAUACCGCGUACACUCUAUGUUGGGCAUCCAAUGUAGAGGAAAUGAAAUUCGCUGUGAGAUAGGCAUGCGUCCCAUUAGCUAGUUGGUGAGGUAACGGCUCACCAAGGCGACGAUGGGUAGGGGAACUGAGAGGUUGAACCCCCACACUGGUACUGAGACACGGACCAGACUCCUACGGGAGGCAGCAGUGAGGAAUAUUGGUCAAUGGGCGAGAGCCUGAACCAGCCAAGUCGCGUGAAGGAUGACUGUCUUAUGGAUUGUAAACUUCUUUUAUACGGGAAUAACAAGAGUCACGUGUGGCUCCCUGCAUGUACCGUAUGAAUAAGCAGCGGCUAACUCCGUG
RNAcentral lists this ribosomal RNA (489 nucleotides) under uncultured bacterium. RNAcentral describes it as "partial 16S ribosomal RNA". It matches the Rfam family "Bacterial small subunit ribosomal RNA", at positions 29 to 507 of the family's 1533-position model. The record is from RNAcentral.